This 549-nucleotide ribosomal RNA is filed under the name Triticum aestivum (bread wheat). RNAcentral's name for it is "partial small subunit ribosomal RNA". The record is from RNAcentral. Lineage: Eukaryota; Viridiplantae; Streptophyta; Magnoliopsida; Poales; Poaceae.
AUGAUAAGAAGUAUAACAACAACCAGUCCAAGCAUCAGGAUAAUAGAAGGGGAAAUUCUUCACCUGAUGCUGCAGGGAUAUACUGAUGCUGACUGGCAGGGAGACCUUGAUGAAAGGAAGUCGACGUCGGGUUGUCUAUUUACUUUGGCUGGAGGUGCUAUCUCUUGGAAGAGCAAGAAACAAACUUCUGUGGCGCAGUCUUCUAUGGAAGCAGAGUACAUUGCUGCGAAUGAAGCUGUAAAAGAUGGCGUUUGGUUGAGGAACUUUCUGGUUUCUCUAGAGAUAGUUGAAAAUGCGUCCGAUCCGGUCACUGUUUAUUGUGAUAAUCAAGCUGCGAUUAAACUUUCCAAGGAUCCCAAGUUUCAUAGCAGGGCUAGACAUAUUGAGGGAAAGUAUCAUUAUAUUAGAGAUGUAAUAAAUAGGCUGAAAACUGUUCGGCUUGCAUUUUUGUCUGGUACUGAUAUAUUGGCAGAUCCACUGACUAAACCUCUUAGUCAGGAAUUGUUUUGCAAACAUGUCAGAAACAUGGGCCUUAGGAUUUUUGAUUGA